CUUUAUUUAGCUGUGAACCAGACCUCCAUCAAAGCAGAUAUUUUCUUUAGCCAUCACUCUCUUUUUUUUGACCUGUGCAGAGAACAACAGACUUAUAACUCUCAGCAAGAAGAAGGUGCAAGAAGAUAGUGCAAGCCAACUUCCCCCUCUGAACCUUUCUCUGUCUUUUCCUCUUGUCCUCUUCCUCCCCCCUUCUGCUCUUCUCUGCUUUCUGGAGCCCUGAAGUCAGAUUUCCGACUCGAAAAGUCGGACGAUCCUCACCAACCCCGACAAGGUCAUAAUCCAAGAUGGCAUCGCAGUGCAUCAACAGCAAAAAGUAACAGUUAAAGCUCUCGUAAUGUAUUAUUUAUUAGCACUUCUGUUUUGUUUUUGUGAAAUUAAAUAAGUGGUGUAUGUUGUACUGUCCAAUGUCUAACUGUGAACAUGGUGCUAUGGUGUUCGCAAGAGUAAAAUACUGUCAUGCAAUGUUUAUAACUGGUAUCGCUAACAACAACUAACAACCGCUGACAAUGGCUAACAAUAGUUGACAACCGCUAACAACAACCGACAACGGCUAACAAUAGUUGACAAUCGCUAACAACAACUGACAACGGCUAACAAUAGUUGACAACGGCUAACAACAACUGACAAUGGCUAACAAUAGUUGACAACCGCUAACAACAGCUGACAACGGCUAACAAUAGUUGACAACGGCUAACAAUAGUUGACAACCGCUAACAACAACUGACAAUGGCUAACAAUAGUUGACAACCGCUAGCAACAGCUGACAACGGCUAACAAUAGUUGACAACGGCUAACAAUAGUCGACAUCCGCUAGCAACAGCUGACAACUGCUAACAAUAGAUGACGACUGCCAACAACAGCUGACAAUGGCUAAUGACAGCUGACAAUUGUUAACAACAACGGCUAACAGCAGGUAUCCAUCUUGGUUUUUCGACUUGUUUACUGGAUCACUAUCUUCUCAGGUGUAUCAUUAUUCCAAGCUCCAACUCCAAAGGUAACUGCAACACAGUAUAAGUAGUUGUAUUUUCAUAAGUACACAAGGUCCUCUGCACAUUUGUCCAUAUGAAACCCAUAUUCACAAACAAAUGAGUCCCCACUUUCAAGCAAGCAAAUUUAUGAUCUGACUGCCUGCGAAGGACAAUGUUUAUGCAACUUAUCAAGGUUCUUGUCAGAAUACUGAAAGGCUUCAGAAGCUUUUCUUUAACUGUGCUAUUAUUAAGUGAACACAAAUGUUUACCUUGCUCUUGAAAGCACAGAAAGCCUCAAGCAGAAUCCUCUAAAAUGUCAAACCUGUAAGUUAUUGCAGCACUCUGGUGUCUCAGAGAGCUGAUGAUUCAACUAAGCUUUUCUAUACUUGUAGAAAUCUUCCCUGAUGGUUAAUUUCUCCCUUAUCAUCCUCCUUCUCUACUUUGUCCUGCAGGUGUAGCAGAGGUGAUAGUCCUGGUCGGAGGGCGUCAAACGAUCGGGAUGAACCAGCGCUCCCUGACAGCGGUCACCUGUUUCAACCCCCAGAACAGUAAGUGGUACCCGCUGGCCAGCCUGCCCUUCUAUGACCGAGACUUCUUCAGUGUCAUCUCAGCCGGAGACAACAUCUACCGGUCAGGUGAGCUGAAUAUACUGGGGGACGAUUGUAGCUUUACUGUUCGGCAAUAAGAUAACUUUUAUUCUGUUCAAAGAGUGAUUUUUGCAAAAAAAAAAGUCUGUUCUACUUUCUUUGGUCCUGACCUUUUUUCGCUGUCACUGCAGUGUUGUUCAGUUCAUUUAGCUCCAUACUGACUCACUGUGCUCUCUGUGACUUCCUCGAUGAAACACCUUGAAGUUGUCUCUCCAGAGAUAGACUGAAUUCCUCCCUCUGUGGAGACAGUGCUCAAACCUUGACAUUGCACUGUGGAAAUACAGCAGGAUUUAUCCUGUGUGUACCUGUCCUCUCCCUCUUUUCAUAUAAAUGUAAAUUUGUGUUUUGGGCAUUGGAGCAGGUCUGCAUGUGUCCGCUGGGAGUCAAGACAACCAGAGCAGAAGUCAGAGGUGUUCUAGUCAGCCAGUCAAGAAGUGCCAGUGUUGGCUGGUGUUAAAAAAAAUUACAGGGAGCUGAAACAAACACAGUUUAGAUGGUUGUUUGAUUCACUUGCCACACGGCUCUGUCAGCUCUUUGUUUGAGUUCUCCCUCAGUUUUAAAACUUCUGAGGGAAGUGUAUGUGUGAUAGAAAGCUCUACAUGAUUGGAGGACUGGGUGACUAGUGACGGGAAGAACAGUUCUUUUGACUGUACCUAAUCUUUAGAAUACGUUCAUUAAAAUGAUUCAUUCAAAAGAUUCCUUCACGAAAUCAGUCAGUGAUUCGGAGCCCCGUCCUGCUGGGUGUAGUACACAAGUGAGUGACACAGCAGCGCAGAUCAGAAGUUUGUUAGUUGAACAGGCCCCUCCCCUCCCCUGAUGCUGAAGUCACAGCUUCGUUCAAUGGAUGACACAUGUCGUUCAUUUGUCAAGUCAUGAAGAAAGAAUCACUCUUGUGCCCUGAAAAACUCACUUCUGUGUGUGCAACCGACGUUUGCAACACGGCACGAGUGAAGCAACACAGCUGCAAGCAGCAUGCCUGCUAAAAGAGCGUGAAUCUUCGUUUUUAUGUAUCACAGAUAAGUGGCGAGACUCACAGUGAACGAACCGGUGCUCAGAAGUUCGUGAACGUCGCUACGCUCCUCCCUCCUCUGCCUGCCUCAAGUCGUUCGGGAGUCGUUCAUUUCAUUUACUGUCUGUAUGAAACAUGUCGUUCAUUCUCUGUGAGCAAAUCACAAGACUCCGCCUGCCCACUCACUCGCUGGCUCGCUGUGCGUCGUUCACCAAAGAGUCACAUGCGGCAGUUCCACUCCUGACGGGCACACCAAGCUCGCGGCUGAGCUCAACUGAACUGAGAAAGGAACGAAUCAGUUUUUGGAGUGAUUCCAUUCACGUUGUUCCGUUCUUUCGAAUGAAUCGUUCAUGAACAACACAACACUAAGUGGGACUGUCAGGGACCUGGACUACAUGGAGAGGUGGGAGUCAUACAGCAUCGUCAACAGCAGCAGCAGCUCCCAGCUGGUGACACACACAGCUAUAACCUCGAUCUGACAGCCAUCUCAGCAAGUAGGGGUGACUCUGCAGAAAGAAAUCUAGUUUGCACAAAUAAAUAUUCACUCUGCGGUAAAUAUAGCAGGUGGUGUGUCAUGCGGGGAUGCGAUGCAGCAGCUUGUAAAAGUGAUUGGACAGGUUGGUUAGCAUUUUCAGAGAGCGGGAAAAGGGGAGUGAAUCCGAGCCGGGUGUGAGUGUCCUUGUGCAGCGACGGUUGGAGCACUUGUGUUUGUGAGUGAGAGCUUUUGCUUCCAGAGAGCAGAGGGACCAACUCUCUGAUUGCACCCACUUCAUGUAAAGGUCGUCCUCUGUGGCCUGUUCUGUGGGAACUCCUCAGACAGUUUCCCCCAUGGAGUACAAUGAACUCCUACUCACUUAAAGCAUGAAUAGACAUUGUUCUGAGUUAUACCUCUUGACUUUUAUCACUCUGCUUUUCAUUUCUCCUCACUCCUCUAACCUGAGCUGAGAAGCGAGUUUCAGCAGAGAGACUUCCUCCUCAUGCACGGCAAAGGACGACAAGCCAAAUUUGUUUAAAAUGUCUUACUUGACUACUCUUCAUUUUCCCCCAGACAGGGUGUAUCAAUGAAGACUUAGUUUGCAUUUACCUUUAUGUAAAGAAGAAUAUCUUGCUUCCGAUGAAAAGUAAAGACGGUGGAAGCUUUUAUUGGAAAAGAGCAGUUAUUUGUCGAGUCUCUGAGGCGAAACUAAAGCGCGGUGUUAUGCAUCAUUUACAAUAAAAGUUUUGUCAGACUAUACUUGUUUGAAUACAGCUAUCAUCCUCUGACAUUAUAUCAAAUAAAUGGUAUUCAUAAAGAGUGAAGGAGCACUGAUACUUUGUAGCCUAGCUCGGCAGAUAAAACAGCAGUUUGUCUUCAAAGACUCAAACAUUAACUUUUAUCUGAUACCUUUUUUUAAUAUAUAAAAUCUUUAUCAGAGACACUUCUUCCAGCUAUAUAACCUUACAAAGUCUUCUUAACCUUAAAAAUGCCCCUGCUCCCACACACAGCUGCCUGGUAUUUGCUUCCGACUUUGAAACAAACAAAAAACAGAAUAUUUUAACUAAACAUUAAAGCUCCUUUGUUCAUUUCUUCUCAUCUGCUUUGAUAAAUGAGCCCAGCUCAUGACCAAUCCUUCAUUUUAAGUUUGGUAGGUGUGUCUCUGCUCUAAGACUCAGCAGGCCUGGCUCCAGCUCAGCCCUUUAGGUCCAAAACUCUAAAGAUGAUGGGGACUCCAGCAGGGAGGCAGCCAGUCCACAGCAGGACUAAACCCUGACCGGAGAAGAUAAGGAAGCUGUUACUAAAUCCCCUUUUUUUGCCACUUCCCCCAGGAGGAAGAGCUGCACAGAUCUCAAGCACUUUGUGACAGAUAGAGGAGAUGAUAUGCAGGAAUCAUUAGUCAGUGAGGGUGAAUGGUUGCCUCAUUUGAAGUGCGCAUGGUCGCUGGGGUUGUGUUUGAAGGCUGGGAAACAGCAUGAAAUGUGAUCUGGGUAAAUUGAUUACACACAUGGAAACAUUUUUUCAGCCUGCAUUUCUUUGUGUCCUGCAAAACUAUGUCUAGAUACACCUUUAUGUCUCUGUUUAUUGUUUAUUUUGAUGCCUGCAUACAUCAGCCAUCUUCAGCCAGGGCUCUUCUCCUUCCUGCAGUUUGACUCCUAAUUUGCAGUCCUUCCUAUUCCCAUCACUCAAUCCAUCUCUCCAUCCAUCUCUCUGGGGGUUUCACGCUUCUAGCUGUGAAAUUCACCCACACUCGCAAUUACGUCUUCAUUCAGAGCCGUCCAAAAGCCAGUUGGAUGCUGCCUUUUCUUUGGGAACAACAGGAGGUCCGAAUCAGCGCUCAAAGGAGUCAGCGAGCUCAUUUAUGUCUCUGCUCUCCUCGCUGAUGACUGACAGAUUUUUAGGGACGGGGAGCGGCUGAGUUCAGGAGGCUUUGAACUUGUAAUUGGGUACUCUGGGCCUCAGCAUGUUUAUUCUUUGGCAAAACUCGACGUGAUUGCGGAUAUUGAAUAAUUCAUGGAUAUCUAAUGAUGUGUCAAUCACAGAUGGUUUUGUUUUAUUUAUCGGGCACUAUAACCAGGUUUAUGCGUCCUUCAGGCUCCAUUGCACGUUAAUAUUGCAUGAAGACCGUUUGUGAUAUGACGCUCGAUAUACCCAUCAGCUUUUCUUAUCAGGGAUGUUGAGUUGUUUGGUUAACAAGUCUGGAGGCGAGAGGAACAGUUAGCAAAGAUCACGUUCUCAGGGUCGUUUAUGGCUUUUCAAAAUAAAAUGACCUUUUGGACUGCAGUACGUCAGUAAUUGCGGCUGUAAUACACCUAAUUGGGAGCUCUAUUGUUCAGGUUAAUUAACUAACUAAGUGUCCCUGCUCUUUACAGUUACUGUAUGUGCUCUUGUAAAGGCACCCAAUGCCAAUUUCUGCUUUUUUUCAACCUUCAUGGAGGUUUUCACCUUGCUCUGACAAAAUGCCAUUAUCCUUUUCUUACUGCUUCAUUUGCAUGUUUGUGAUAAAUUCAACAGAUAAGUGCAACUUGAUGUGAACUUGAACCUGGUUCCCUAUACUCAAGCUUAAAUACAGGCCCAUUAUUAACCAAAGACAAAAGAAAGUUUGCAGCGUUGUCGCUUAGGUUUUGUUUCUGUACUCAGUAACAAUGGAACCAGCUAUAUAAGCUCCCUCUGUGCAGCAAUAAUCAAAUUUUUCUCUCACAUUUUUCAUCCUCUGCGAGUAAGUGUGUAGCUGGGUGGAUCUGUCCGUCUUGUAUGGGGUCAUAAUGAUCCUGGAGCUAGUUCAGGAGGUAGGGAAAGGUUGGCAAACCGGGUAAGACACUGUAGUCGUGGACAACAGGCUCCCAGACCCCCUGCUGAGCUGAUCCCCGCUUGUCAGGAUUAACCAACCUCACUGGGCUGCUCCCUAUUGUGCUGUCGAGGCACCAUUAAAGCCUCCAGCUCGAUCUCAGCACCACUCUCCUCAGUCUCUUUCUUUCAUCUCAAGAAAAGGAAAGCAAGGAUGUCUGCGAAGGCAUAUGUAACCCUGCUAUGAAUAUAAAAAUCUCUCAUCUCCAGUCCUCUGCCUCCUACCUCUUAUUCCUCUUGUCCCAUGAGAAAACUGUCAUGAAUUUAGGGAUGUGUGUGAACAAGCAAAAAGUUUUGGGUAAAAUGUUCAGAACUCUGCAGCAGCUUUGCCCCUAAAAUUGUCCAAAGUUGCACACCUGAAUAAGAUCUAUCUUUAACUAAUCAUAUCCUUAAGGGGUUAGGACAAGAUCAUCACAUCUCUCCUACAUACAAAAUAUCCUCCUCUCAAUCUCGCCCAUUUCCCCUGUUUUCUUAUUCUAUCCACCGUCUCUCCUCUCCUGCACCUUCUGUCCCGCUGUCCCCCUCGUCUCCUCGCAGUCCUGAUUAGGUGGGCAGGACUUGAUGGGUGUAUUUUGGGGCCUGAAAGGCAAAGGCGGUGUCUCCUCUUCCUUAUCUUCUAAUGGGUGCUGAGGUCUCUGAAAUAUGGAGGAGGAGGAUGCCAAGAGUGUGUGUGUGCGUGUGUGCAUGUGUGUGUGUGACAGUUAGAGAAACAUUGGCGAGCAGCAGCAGCGGUGCCUGAGGACGGUAUUAGUGAAAGGCAGAGAGAGGCUGCAGGUAAUGAGCAGUAUGAGCUCCAUGUGCUUCUCUUUCAUUGAUUAAUGAUGAGCUGGACUUUGAACAAUUUCCGGCUUUCACCAGCAGGCAGAUCAUUUUUCUCUCUCUCUUUCUUUCAGCUUUUGUGCUUUUUUCUACCCUCUUUUUUUCUCUCUUUCAACUUCCAUUUCUCUGUCCAGAUCACAAAGCCAGUUUUACACAUUUGAAACAUACUGUAUAUCUCAUCCUCUCUUGUAUAGGGCUGCAAUCCAGUUUUCCAUACAGCCAGCCUGCAGCAGCCAAUUAUCAGAGGUUAAAAAUUGACAGAUACAGCAGAAAUUGCAGGACGCCAGCUUGCAGACCCCCAUGAGGAAGCAACUUCUGAGCACAGACCAUCUCAAUACCCAGACACCUACACAUAGGGACAGCACUGACUCUGGUGGAUGGAGGUUGAGUUUUCUUUUACAGCUUAUUCGACUGAGAUUAAGUUUUUCUUGUGCAGACACAGUGCUAUACCUACAAACAUGGAAAUCAGCUCUCUGUGGGCCCAUUAAAGGAUCUAAUUCCUCUCUUACUGAAGACGCUGCAUGCUCAAAGCAUGAAUGUCUGAAUGCAGGAUGUUCUGAAUAAAUGGAAGCCAAGGUUUUCCCUAUAUGAAUAAUUUUCAAAUGAUUUCCAGACAUGCUAGCAGCAUAGCCUAAGGAUGGAAGUGUCUGUCGGCUGGUCCCAGCUUAAUGUAUUGUUGGCGCUAAUUAGCUAAUGUUCCAUGCAAACUAACAAACAUAGAUUACGCUAAUGGAGCCAAGGGCACAGAAUACUCACAAAAACACAAAUGGAAAGUAAAGACAGUCCAGAUCUACCUUUUACAAGCGCAUAAUCUUAUUAGUCAGUGUCUUGUUCACAUUGUCUUUUAUCUGGAUCUCAUCCAAAGACGCCCAAUGAGAAAGAUCCAAAGCUCUGCAGAGAUGAAUGCAUUGUAGCUCCAAACAAAAGUUCCUCAGUCUAAUUGCUUUAAUUGCACAUAAUAGUCAGUCUUAUUCUAUACCUCUAAACCCUGCUAACAAUAUUAGCAUUUUUCUUUGAGUUUGAUCCAGUGAUAACUGGCUGCAAAGUAUUGCCAAGUGCUGCUAGUAGUUCAUUAUAGAUCCUCAUAGUGGAUUUGACUACUAAAGCUGGGUUAUGACCAGAGGUGGGCACAGUUGGUCCAAAAUUUUGCUUGUUCACUAGUAAUCUGUUUGCACAUCUGUUUAACUUUAAUAACAGCUAAUUUGUUAAUUCUGAUCAAAAUGAACUAGAGCUUUAUUCCAGGGUCUUAUGACAGUAGUGGAUCAAGUGUGUCCACGGGAGGUCAGUUUAGGUCCACACACAGAAGUAACGAAAGGUUCUCAACAUGCAACUUGUUGGUGAGCUCGCCUCCUUGUAUCAGGACAAGAAAGUUUGCUAUUGAUGCAGUUUACUCAGAGCCGGCCAAAAGCAUAAGUGAAUUAAGCGCCUGCUAAGGGCCCCGCAGCUAAUAGGGGGCCCCCAAGAGCAAUCAAAAUUUAUAUGCAUAUAUAUAUAUAUUUUUAAUGAUUUUUUGCAUGUGUGAGUGAUGCUUUCUGUAUGAUCAAAUAUAUAUUAUUGUAAUAACAAAAUAAAAUGAAGUAAAAACCUGUUUAGUGCUGCCGAUAUGUCAAUAUGUCACAAUCUGCGGGGCGAAAACAAUGUCGUAAAAAAGGAUAUAUCCUUCAGGUGCAUGUCAUGGAAUGUUAAUCAAAGAGAUUUGUGAAGGUGUGUGAAUGAUCAACAAUCAAUAUUAUUGGCAGAAAUAGAGGGCCCCAAAAUCAAAUUUUGCUUAGGGCCCCAUUGAGGCUUGGGCUGGCUCUGAGUUAACUACAAAGUGUAUAUCUGAAAACUAAAAAAGAAUAAUUUUCCAAUAAUUUUCUUGAUUUUCUGUGUUUUUCCCUGUCCUGCUUUAUUACCAAAAGAUAACAGAGAAUUUGAUAUAAAGGCCUGCCUCUAAUAAAAGCCUGUCUCAUAUGGCCACAAGGCCUGGCACCUGAGGCAAUAAAAACAAAAAAACAUGGCCUAUAUUUGAGUAUAAUUUGAUUAUAAUCUCUUAGAACUGUAACAAAAGAGGUGUUUUUAUUUCAACACAUUUUCCACACUGUUAGAAAUCCUACACUAGAUUCUAACAAGUUGGCACAUGAUGGAUUCUCACUGCAAAGAGCUGUCAAAGUACUUUUCAAUAACAGGGAAUUAUUAUAUCAAAUUGUAGCUCUUCGUUGUUGCAGGCAACAUUCAGAGCAGCAGGCCUCAGAGAGAAACCCAGGGUCAAAAAAAAGUGUCUGAAUUCAAAAUGUUUCCUGACAAGAAGUUGAUCUCAUGUCAUUAAAGCAGCAGCAUGGAGGCACUUCCCUCAGCUCUGCAGCCCAGAAACUUCCUCUCUGUUAUUAGAGGUUCUUCAGAGCAAGAGUACUGUGAGCAAAAUUAUGAUUAUGUAACGUGUGUGUGUGCGCUGGAAGCUGAGUGAAAUUCAAGAGCUGACAGAGCAGCUUGCGGGGGAAAAAGGAGAGAAAAGUCUGGUUAGGAAGUAUGUAUACAAGGAGUAACAGGUGCACACAACCUCCCCUGCUCUUAUGCUAUGAAACCGGGCCGACAGUAACUUUUGUGAGCCAGUGGGAAAUGCUUCUGGAUCUCCAAGUCUCUUAUCCUUCUCUGCAUCUCUCUCAGUCUCAUCCACUGACAUACAUACAGCUGUGAGUGUUUCCUCUGACUGUGCAUGUGUGUCUCCCCUCUGCAUGAACCAUCUCCCGCAUGAACUGCAAAUGGGUUUCACAAACACUUAUCAGGACCGACUCCCUUCCUCCCACAGAGACAGAAAUAAUGUAUCGCGCCCAAAAUAGUCCUUUUCAACACGUCUGUUGAGGUGUGUGGUGCCUCUGCAGACCUGCUCGUCUGUGUCUUCAAUAAAUCCGUCUGCUAAGCAGCAUAUGUCCUGAAACAUGGGUGUAAAUAAGCCUCCUCACAUACAGUUUACUUCUUGUGAAGCCUCAGCACCUCUGCCUCCACAUUUAUGAGAUCAACAUGUUUAUGUUGACGCCAUGCGAUGAUGACUGUUGUUAUGGAGUCUUUACAGGAAAGAGCUCUUAUCAAGAUCAGCACAGUAAACAGCGCUGCAACAGUUGAGGGCUUUGUGUUGUGUUGUUUGUGCUGUUCUUGCAGGUUUCAUAGAUCCAGAUAUGAGCAGUGUUGAUGCAGGAAUCAGAUAGGAAAGGAAGUGAGGCAACAAUGAAGUGUUUGUUUAGACAGCAGCUACAAACUGUGUGUGUUUUGUGUGCACUUGCUUUAAUUUGCUACCCGCCUCUGACCUCAGCCUGAGGAGGUCCAAACUUUGUGACUCAGUUAUUUUAUCAGAGAGUCUCUGUGGGCUCAUGUUGCCCAACAGGCACAGCUGUACUAUUAUCAUCAAAUUAUUAUAACCUUGUUUUCUGUUUGUUUUCCUCUUUUUCAUCAUUAUUAUUGCUGAAUGUGGUCUGUUGUUAACCUUAUUUUAACCCUAGAGCCUCAAACUAGGGCUGGGCGAUAUGACCUCAAAUCAAUAUCACUAUUUAAUGAGCAGUUCACCUCGAUAACGAUAAAUGGAGGAUAACUACUCCACAAGCUGCUCACCCCCUCCCAAAUGAAUGUCGUCUACUUCAGCCGCAAGACGACGGUUAUUGUCGUAAAUUUCUGUAUCGGUAAAUUUUCAGGUUUAUUGCCCAGCCCUACCUCAAACCUAGACAAUUAUAAGGCUACGUUCACACUGCAGGUUAUAAUGCACAAUUUGGAUUUUUUGUUAAAUCCAAUCUUUUUGUGUGGUCGUUCACAUUACAACAAUGAAUGUGGCAUCUAAUGUGAACGGAAUGCAUCCGUGAAGUGACCCGCAUGCGCACACAUUUCUUUCCGCGCCUGUUUGUGUUGUCGAACAAUGGUGACGUUUGUUGCAUAUUGAUGACGUAUAGGUCGGAUGACGUGACCUGAGCGUCCACACUGCAGCCACAUCGGAUACAUAUCUAAUUUCUUUCCACAUACAAAAGAGGCCUGGGUAGGAUUUGAAAAAAUCAGAAUUGCACUGUUCACACUUACAUGAAAAAAUCAGAUAUUUGUCACAUAUGGUUAAAAAAUCGGAAUUGACCUGCAGUGUGAACAUGGCCUUAGAUUCUCCCUUGAAUAAUGAAUCAUUAGCUCGAUCUUUAUUUAUAUGGCACCAAUUCACAACAAGUCUUAUCCCCAAAAAAAGCUGUCCCAAGUCCCAUCUCAUCUUUGGAGCCGUGAUAUUUAUCAUGCAAGUGUCAGAUGAAAGCAUAAUAGAGUGCUGUUCAUUAAGAGUUUCAGUGUGCAGGGCAGCAGGAGCCCCUCUCACCUCCACAGGUGAUCUGUUAAUUAAAAAUGUCAGACUCCUCUCAGCAGCUGGGGGACAGAGAAAGGAGGAGGACUCCCCACAACAUAAUGAGCCUUUAGAGCCUUUCGUUGCCAUUAUUAAAGCAUCAGAAACGACUCCUCCUGUUUCCCGCUACAAACGAGGGAUACCUGUGCACUAUGGCAGCAAACAAGGAGGGCGGCUGCUCCCAGCAGAGUGUCUGUUCAUCAUUCAUGCUGCUUGUAAAUUGGCCAGCUGUGGUCUGCUGAGGGAAAAUUACUGACUUUAAAAUCUACCUCCUCUUCCUCCGCAGCGAGGCUGCUGUCAAAAGCUGCAGGUGUCCAGUGGUUGUGCAUAAGCCACAGCUCUAAUUUUACAGAGCUAUUUCCUGCAUCAGAUUGAAUUAUGCAGAAUGUACUAUACACAUGUUCCUGGUACAUCCAUACUUUUCUUAAUUUUUGGGCACCAAGCACAGAGAGUGCAAGAACGCUGUUAUGUCCACUAUGCUUAUUCUAUCUUCUUUGCAAUCCUAUUUCUUGACAAUAGUAAAUUGCAUAUUUAGAGUUGUACAUCAAAAGCUCAUGAAAUUUUGCAUGCAUAUCAAGCCUGGUGAAAAAAUUAUGAAAGAGGAUUAGGGCCACAAGAAGAGAAAAAAAAACAAUUACAGGAGGAAGAUUUUUUAAUUUCCAUUUCGAGAUUUAAGUCCGAAUGUAAAAGUCAAAAUUUCAACUUUAUUCAUGUUGUCUUUACUCUCGAAAUUUUUAUAUCUCAAAAUGUAAUUUUAUUAAUCUCAGAAUUUCAACAUUAUUCACGACAUUUCAACAUUUUUUAUCUCAAAAUUUAAACUUUAAUUUUGAGAUUUCAAUUUUUAAUCUAGAAAUUUCAACUUUGUUGACAUAAAUUAGAUUUUUAAUCGCAAAAUUUUAACUUUAAUCUCGAAAUUUCGACUUAAAUCUCAAAAUUUAAUUUUUUUUAAUUUUGUAAUUUCAACAUUAUUCAUGACAUGUCAACAUUUUGGCAAUCUCAAAAUUUCGACUUUAGUCUCAAGAUUUUAAUUUUUGAUCUCGAAAUUUCGACUUUUAUCUCCCUCCUGUAUUUUUUUUUCUCUUCCUGUGGCCCUAACCCCCUUUGCAUAAAAAUUUGAUGUUGCUUUUGUGUUUUCUUUGUAAAUCUUUGGACAGGCUAAAAGGGUGUGAAGACUCAUAUGCUCUUGCAGUGAGUCUGAAUGGUUUGAUUCCAUCUUGGAAGGAGCCUACACAUCAUCUAUGAUCCAAAGGUAACCACAUGGUAGUUAAUGUGGACUAUAUAGGCUGUGUUAAAGUAGUUGACAUCACCUCGUUUUGAAACUGGAACCAAUCAGUAAGUCUCCAAAACCCACAUUUAUUUUAUUCUGAUAGACAGCAGCAGGGAUUAUAAAGAAUGCCCGUCAUGCUGAUAGGAAAAAAGCAUCCUCCAGAAAAGCAGUGACUGCAUAAUCUAAUCAUCUUUAGCUUUUUAAUUCUGCUCUAAAAGAAAACAAAUUCCACUUGCUUUUUACAAUUUGCGGACACAACAUAGCAGAAAAAAGGGAGAAAAAAUGAAUAUUAACAGCAGCAGAAUCACAUCCUAAUAUUCCACUCAGCGUGAACCACUGAGGUGUGCAGUUUGCAGAAUAAUGAACCCGCUGAUUUUAGGGCCUGAGACAUUUUUAGAUUUUUUUGCAGUAGCCGAGAAAGAAAGAAGCAAACAAUUACAGCCUGUAAACUCACGCUGAACGUGCAACAUAAAUCAUGCUGUCAUAGUUAUUGGGUAGCUGAGCCAGCCCUCACCAGGCAGCUGUUCUGUGGCAUUUAACUAAGUCUGACUCACAGAGGGGAGGGAGGGCAGUGCACACAGCACAGGAUCAAAACAUGAAAACAUGUAAUACGCAGGAAAAAGCACUUUUCUCUCCUGUGCGUAAGGAUGAUGUCUAGCAGAGUCAUCAUGCAGGAGAGCUGCAUCUCUAGACUUUGCCCUGUGAACUCCCUGCUUUGGAUCCCCUCAUGUCUGCCCCCCCAAAGAAUAUAAACAGUUUAUAGAUUUUUGUCUCAUCUGACUUCAUCUUAUUGCAAAUGACAAUUAGAGCCACACUCCUGCUGCUGUGAGUCACAGCUUUCCGAUAUCAAAUCCACUUUGGACUUUACUCUUUGGCUGCUGCAGGGUUGAUUUGAGCUGCGCUCAGGAACUCAUUACUGCCUGUAGUAGGAGUUAGAUCUAUAUACAGUCCUACGGGCUUAUCUUAAUAGUAUUAAUAGACAUCAUUUAGGAUGCAAUCAGCUAAAUAACAACCGUCAUUAAAGGCCAUACCUAAAUUAAGAGAAAAUGAAUGUAGACUCCUGUUUAUCAGAAAGAUGUGGAGGUGAAAGAAAUUUUCUAGUCUGCCCUGAAAGAGACUAUGGAUAAUCAAAAUACCUCAAUAAUUCCUGUCUGCUCUUGCAGCACUGUGAUCCUGAAUGGGAAGAUCUUCACCACAGGAAGCAUCAUGUCGCCCUGGGCAACAAAGAGACAUUUGACCCUUGCUUUGACACACUAACGCUCCAACAGAACCUUCAAAAUUGCCCACCCUUACAGUAAAAAUAAACAAUUGCACAACCUGGUACAGGAAUAUUGUCUGCCUCUUUGGCUCUUAAGAUAUAAAGAUGGGGGUUUGGCGUUGUUAGUAAGGCCCAUCUCUACUUCACCUCUUUGACGCUUUCAGCCAGAUAUUCCUAGAUGCCUGCACCUUGCACUAUUUUCAGUAACAUAAGAUUUUAGUUGUUUGCAAACCUUAAAAAGCUUUUUUUUAGUGUCCAUUUUUUUGGAAUUGUAAGAAUACAUCUGAGUUCAACAUUGUGUCUUAGAGUGAGUGCUCUUGAAUCUUAGCCUCAUUGAGACCACUCUGACUGCUUCAUUCAUACAAACCUGUUCCAGCAAAAAAGACUCAAUCUGUUGUUGAAAUCUCUUUGAUUCUCACCCACACACCAGAAAAACUGGUACUUCAGAGAAACCAUCUUGAAAAAAAGAGUGGACACCUGUUGAUGAUUUAUGUGCAUGUGAUUUUACCACUUUAUUUUUAACAUCCUUUUAUCGCAGCCCUAAAACUGUUAGCACCAGGUCACAAAGGUUCAAAAUCUGAAUGUAUAAAUGUUGGAAAAUGAAGCUUGCAUAAAAGUCACUGAUGAGGAAACUCCCCUGAAAGAGCCGGUGUUCAGACACACUGAUGGUAUAACACUUCUCUGUUUGCAGUGUCUCGCUCUAAAUUUCUAAUAAACUCAUUGCUUUGUUGCUCUGCACCUCUGAUGUGAAGUCUAUCCGCCUGAAGCCUGAUCACCUUUUUAUCUGUGAAAAACAGGAGACAGUCUAUGAAGGUUUCUGCACUGACACCCUCAUUUUUAAAUGACUUUAUCCAACUAUCAUGAUACCAGACCUGCAGAGCUCUGUUUCUCUACAGCAUUUCUUCACAUUCGUCCAUCUGGUUUUAAGUAAGGUGCAGACCAAGCCGAACCAAGCUAGGACAGACAGAUUAAAAGUAUCAACCUUGGAUUAACUGUUCAGUUUGAUGGAUAAUAAGGAGGUAACCUGCUGCGUGAUGUGUGCUAGGAAACACAGGCAAACAAAACACGUGCCAACAAGCUGGCAUCCCUGCUCUACAAUCACUAAUUUUAGUCUUGUGGGAUAAAAUGAACCAAAGCACCUGGCACCACCUGGCUGACUGUUUGCACCCCCUCUUUCUCUGCUGCCUCCUCUCUCUGACAUCCUGACAGCCAGUCCUGGCUACCAGCACCAGGAUGCUGCCAGUUCUGGCCAGCUGUCUGCGCUGACAUCUACAGCAGCAGCAGAUGACCAGAUGGGAUUCCGGGAAAAUACACUGCAGCUAUUUUUGAGAGGAACAUUGUAAAGAGAUCUCGACAAUAAAACAUGAAAAAAAAAAGACGUAACAUUCACUCUUCUUUACCACCAUGUCCAGAAUACAAAAUACAAACCACAUUAAUUAUAAAAUACCUGAAACAUUGGGAGCUAUCAUUAGGACAUAUCUACAUUUACAUGUGUCCAUAUAAAAGUGUUUGGAGAAACUAUAAUGAGCCAGACAGUGUUGAAUAAGUGCUCACACCGGCUAAUAGGUAAUGUUGGUUCAUGGAGAUGAAGUGUUUGGAGGUCAGCUGUGUUCAAAAGUAAUUAAUAUCAGAUUGACAGUUAAUUAAGGCGAAUCAUAAUAAGAGAGUUUACAUUUCACUGCUACUUUAAAUACAACACUCUGGACAGUCCCUUUAACUGACCCGUACCCCGUGUUUUACUAAAGCAGAGUCUGUAUGUGCGCGUGUGUGUCUAUUCAAACAAAGAGGUACUUUGAUAAAAAGAAGGUCACAGCAGAGCUACACAGAGAAUUUCACAUCAUAACACAUACAGUAUAUAAGAUGGGUGCACCCUCUCUUCUUUUCCAUCUCCUUAUUCUUACGUUUAAUGAACAGCACACUCUUCAAUUGCCCUUCAACCCUAUUUUUUCACCACUUUUCCCUCUGAUACAUUUUCGGUUCUUGUAUUUUCUCUCCCUCUAUUCUCUUGAAUUAUUUUCCCUCUGCACCCCUCAGCUUCUGUCAUUUUGAUCGGGAGCUCUGUGACACUGUGGGAUAAAUGGUGAGUGUGUGUAACACAGGGCUCAGUGAUUGAAUUGCACACAAAGGGGUAGUAAUCCCACGUGUUAAAGACGGCUGCUGACAUGGACCAUUUAACCUUAAACCCCUCUGAACUCCCUGUUCAUCUUCCUCUCCUCCAUCUGUACUCAAGAUGCUUUCUGCGCUUACCUCUCUCUCUACACACAUAAUUGUUGACACAGCAGACAGGACAAGUACACUAUUCAUUUUAUAAACUGAAGUACUAUGCAAGCCGGAUUGUUAGAUUGCCCUUCAAAUAUCAGUAGAAUGUCAUUGUAAUCUCAUCGACCAACCCUACGGUGUUUAAAAAAAACUCAAACAGAUGAAAUCCCAAAAUGUUGCUAGUCAUACAAACUUCAUUGCACUUUUCGGUAACUCUUUAUUGACGCCCAUCUCUAAAACGCAUUAUAAAUAUAUGUAUAAUGCGUUUUAAUCAUGUUCUAGCACUGUAUAAACACUCAUAAAUGAUCACAAUGCUUUAUAGCAGUGAUGAAAACACAUUAUAAAGCAUUUUAUCAUGACUUACAAGGUCAGGUAUUAUAAUGUGUUAUAACUGUUAACAACAGUUGCAUUGCAUUAUCUAUGUGGGCAUUGUCUGUGAGUUGUUAACAUUUAUAACACAUUAUAAUACCUGACCAUGUAAGUCAUGAUAAAGUGUUUUAUAAUGGGUUAUGAUUAUUGCUAUAAAGCAUUAUGAUCAUUUAUGAGUGUUUAUAACUAUAGUUAAACAGUGCUAUAACGUGAUUAUAACGCAUUAUACAUAGAUUCAUAAUGCGUUAUACAGAUAGGCGUCAAAUAAAUUGUUAUCCAGUUUUCGUCUUUACUCAUGAGACAUAAAAAUGUUGCUUUCUUAUGUUUAAUCUAACACCACUCUGUGUUUUAAGUAUGUUACAAAUAAAACUCUUAUAGCCUGUGAAUCGUGCACAAAGACUGGCAGUUAAUAUUAUACAGUGAAGAGUCCCACUUGAUCACUAAGAGACACAAGUCCAGUCGUGGGUCACACCAUUAAACCUCCGAAAUCAGCCUCUAAAAGAAGAACCCUCCCCUGUUUUUUCUGAUUCACCUCACUGUUUUUUCUCAUCUCCAGCAUAGAACCGAGUAAUUCGGAUUUUCCUGUUCCCAUAAAUGCCAUGACUGCCUUUUUGAUGGUGGAUGUGACGCUGGUGGAUGGUGAUUUGCUGAGGCGAAGAAAAUCAAGUUUUAGUGACAUAAUGUGGCUCACAGAGCACUCAGUCACACAGGUAAUGCAGUUGAGAUAGUGUUAUGACGAAUCACAUUAAGAUGGACUCAGCGCAUUAAAUGAAAUGAUCUCUACCUCUGCUGUGCAAAGAAAUAUCCACACUGAGGUUAUUAACGCCUCUGAAGUAUGAAAAAGGUGUAGACCGCUUCUUGUGCGCUCUGCCAGGUCUAAUUUGGACUUCAUAUUCAUCUUAUGAAUAAACUAAAUGUAUUAUUUCAUUACAGUAGUGUUACGUUUUCAAGUGCUUUAAUACGCCAGCAUAAAAACACUGUUGAACUGCAGGAAGUAGGGCUGGGCGAUAUGGCCUCAAUUCAAUAUCAUAAUAUAUUGAGCAGUUCAACUCAAUAAAAUACAUGGAUGAUAACUACUCCAUAAGCUGCUCACUCCCUCCUACAAUAACUAUCAACUUCAGGCGUGACAACUUUUGAACCGUCCUCCAUCUCCUCACCUGUCUUUCCCUCUUUGUUACAGACUGGAUGGGGAGGAGUCACGUCUCCGAUGUAGAGCGGCAUCUUAAAGAGACAUGAGACCGUUGCCUACCUACACGCAAACCAACUUUUAUUUUUUAUUUUUUAUGACACAAAAUGUAUGGAUAUAGGCAAAAUGAUGUUGGUUAUUGUCAUAAAUUACAGAAUCGGUUAAUUUUCGGUUUAUCGCUCAGCCCUAGAUGUAAGUGCAUGAAAUAAAAAGUCAAACAUUAAGGUUUUAUACUGAAAAAUAUAACAGUAUUCAAAUAUUUAAAGACUGUUUCCUGAACCUAAGCAAUAAAAAGUCAAUCCUAAUUCAAUAAUCAGCAUUUAACCUGCUAUUUCUGAUUAUACCAAAGCCAGAGAAGGUAUCAGAUGAGAGCCAGGUCCAAGUUUUCUUCCAGUUUCUCUUUUUGGUAACAAAAACUAGGGCCCUGAUGUCAAAAUCUUUCCUAUUCUGUGUGUGAGCUUGUUAUCACUCUAAUUUCCAAAAUAUGAUUAUCAGCUUUGGCCUCAAAAUUCCAGCAACUGUCCAAAACAAACCAACUACUUAGCACUGCAGUGAAAAUGUGAAACAUAAAGUUAGCUCAGGACAACAAACCACUUCUGAUCGAGUUUAAAAGUUCAGACUGCAUCCCCUGAGUGAGCCAAAUAUGGGCAUAAACAGUUGAAGUUCUCCAGCCGUGUGGAGGCAAUGAUCAGGUAUUCAGUCCUGCUCUGAAAUCAUGAACAAGGUGAUUUUGUUGUUGUAGCUCAGGCCAUAUAGACCCAAAAGAAACUCCAAAUAUUCAUAAUAAACUGCAGAGAGUCAUAAAGUCGGACUUUACUUUCUAACCUUAAUUUGGCACUCACGUUCAAGCGAUGAUAAAUGAUCUAGCCUGUUCAGUAAGGAAUAAACAAGUCAUGAGAAAAUAUCUGGGGUAAGAAGGCUGCAGGAGAGGAUGUGAAUAUUUUAUGGAUUCAAGGCAGCAGAGAUCCAAAACACCGGCUAAUAAUGCAGGAGAAACCCACGCCUGUAAACAAAUAAAAACCAAACGUGCCUCUGCUCAGGCCUGAAAAUCCACCUGAUGCAGAGAUUAAGUCAAAAUAAUGCACUGAAAGCAAAAACAACAAAGACAAAUGAAAAGUUAAGUUUGGUGAAAGUAAAAGGAACCGAGUACAGUAGAGCAAACACGGUGUGCGUAUUGGAAACAUGCUGACCAAGCUCUGUUGCACAUUAUGUAAAUGUGUUUUCACCAUACACCUAAAGUGAAUAGAUCUGAGUAAGAGCAGCUAUUUAGAGCCAGGCGGUAUAUUUUUGUUGUAAGUACACAUUCAAAGGAUUCAAAUAAUAGGACUUUAACAAUGUUUUUAUCAUGUGACCCUUUUGAAAGUCCAUUUUAAGUGAAAUCAUAGGUGAGACGUUAGCGGGCUGGAAAGCAAAGUAUGUAGUAGUUCCUUUUUUAUGAGUGGGAUGCAUUAAGGUGUUAUCAUUGCAAAAGGGUGUCAUAAAUCAUCUAAAAGGCUUGGCAGAAGAGCAAUUACUUCAGCAUAUCAAGAAAGCAGAGUGGGUUUAUACUGCAAGCUGUUUACACCGCUGCCUCUCACAUUCAGGCUCGGCUAUGCGAGUGAAAACGGCCGCAUUGUCAAAGCCAUCACUGAGAUUGAAUGGAAAUAAAAGCAGCUUUCUGUUUUUACUGCAAAUCAAAACCGGGUCCAGCACUGCUAUUAAGCCGUUCACUUCUUCAGCUGAUAUAUGCAUGAUGGCCACUUUGCCGGAGAGCCUCCUGCUGUUCGUAGGAGUGAAAAUGAAGAGAAUAAAUGAAAGCAGACCAUUUCUGUUGACAGGCUAAAACAGGAGAUCCUAAAAUACUGUAAUGGCUGAACAUGAAGGGGGAAGACUUCGUACAGAGAGCGAGAAAGCAGAAACACUCGCUCCUCGUAAGCAGCUGCUCCAGAAAAGAGCAGAGUAGGCGAUAAUCUGUGUGUUCUCUGUCAAAUAGAGGGAAAAUUUGCCAGGCCAGAUUUCGUCAGCAUCACUUCUUCCACUCCAUCUGUGGACAAGUGUCUGAUUACUGAUGAAAGCAAACAGCUGACUAUCAGAAACAUUAGGGAGCAGCAAGACAGACAAGCCUGAGGACAGAGUUAUUCCUAUAGAGAUUUUGAUCAUUUAGUAACAAGCCACACUGCAGUCAGUGUUUCAGGGCAAUUUUGUCAAGUGUAUCAGAGCAUUAACUGACUGUAGAAACUAUCUCUGUCCUACAGGCUGUGAGUCUGUGAACAAACUUGAUACACUCUGAUGGUGUUUCAUUACAGACAGAUUUAAAGUCUUCAAGUUAAAAAGUUAAAAAAUUGUGAGCUCUCAACAGUCAAUGAAUGCUUCUGAUGGAGCAGUACACCACCCACUUCAGGCCAAAAUACACAUCAGACAGCCUGCCAGCCUCGGCCCUGUGAGCAAACACCGACUCCUCCUGCUUAUUUAACAUUGAAUUUCUUCUGUCGGACAGGAAUGAAAACAAAAUCAUUCACAGUGAACUUUUUUCACAAUAUGCUUCUUUGAGAUAUCCCUUCUCCCCUCUCCAACAAAUAAACCUCCACAUUAGUUCUGUGUGCGGUUCUUCAUUGGGGCAGCCAGCUGAGGCACUCAGAUCAAGCCAACUGAAAAGCCUGUCAAUCACUUUGAAUGAGAGAGUCAAGUUCAGGAAGACAGAGCACAUACCCUGCUGUCUUCAUCACACUCAGGGGGGACACGGGUAAAAGCCACCAGAUAAUAGCUUGGUAGCUGGAUGUCACUUUGGAGCACAAAGGAAAGAAGUACACUCGUGUCAGAAGACACUUCUUUUACAUCAAUUACACCACAGGGCGCCCUAGAGCCAAACACCCCCCACCUGAUCAGUGAGAAGUGCUGUCAGGGGAACCCACUGAACCAAGGCUUCAAUUUACACUCGGGGUAUUAGCCGGGACCCCAGUGUGACUGUGCAAAGCACAUUGGAGCUGCUCCACUUGCUCUUUUUUUGCUUUGACACAUGCUGGUGGACGCAGUGACGUGAGGAGAAGCUCAUGUUUGAGUCAUAAACUGCAGAAAACAACACCUGUUGAUCGAGAGAUGUGAACAUAGUCUGUUACUGUAAUUGGGGCUCAAAUGUACAGUUAUAAAGUGAAGAGAGGAGAGACAAUGUGACAUGACUAAAGUGUGAAUGGAAAAGGCAAAAUAAGCCUGAGCAGUCAGAGUUAUCCAUGUGAGGAGGAGAGAGUGACAGCAUCAGCUCACAUGAAGCUUAAAGCUGGUUACCCAUGGCUGAGUUUCCUCUUCCUCCAUGCUGAAGCCCCAUUUCAUGAAGAUUUUCAAUGUAUGUGCCGACUUCUUAGGCCCAGUUUUAACAAUAGCAGACGUCUUAUUAUCCAGACACCAUUUCUGUUCUGACAUUUUCUAUUUUUAGAAGCUAUAGAAAGGAUGAAGGACAAAGCCACGGCAUAACGCCUGAAGCCGUGUUUCUAAGAUGAGCAGCAUACAGCACGUGGCAGCCCGGGCCGAAAAUGGAAAAAGCCAGUGGAGCUAACUCUUCUGGCUCACUAAAGAUAACAUGAAUAGUCGGCUCUCAAAUGAAGCAGGGCUGAGCUGAAUGUGAUGGUCAGUGCAAUUUUUCACGCCAUUCUAGCCGACGGAAACGCCGGGACUGGUUCUUUCUGAAGCUUUUGCAUAAAUGUCAGCGCAUGAAAAGCAAAUCAAAGGAAGUAUAAGUGAUCAAUUUAGAGAGGAGGAAUAAAGAACAGCUGUUUUCUUUUACAGAGAGGAUGAGAGGGCGCUGGAAACGCCAUCAUCCAUACUGCUCAUGCAUUUAAACAAGCACCCUUAUGACCUCAAAUAACACAAGGAGCACACUGGAAACACUUUUUGACUAGAGCUAGCAAGUAAGGUCAAACUUUUUCUAUGUUUGUUCUGUACUUUUGCAACUCUGGGGAUAGUAUUGUACUCGUUAUCACAGCAAAACUAGCAUGGUUAUCACUAGAUGACAGCUGGAAUUAUCUUAGCGGAGUUAAAAGAGUGUACAUAAAUGUUCACUUCAUGAGUUACUGGAUAUUCCUCAAACUGUGCAACACUGACAUACUCCUCUUUUGUAUUCUGGAUUAAUGAUGUUGCAUUAUUCAUGCAUUCUCUUUUUUAAAAGCUAAACAGGAGAGCUGGAUGAUAAUCAAACUCUGAUUUCUCAUCUUAAUUAGAAGGCGAAGCGCCGACUGGAUGUCUCAAACUGAGUGCAUUUUGUUAACAUGCUUAAUUGCUUAUCAAGUUAUACGAUCAAAUAAUCAGCAAGUUAAAAUGGAAAGAACAAAGUGAAAAUGGGUGAAAACCCCCACCUGCCCCUUCUCACUCCCCUGAGAUGCACUUUUAAGUCAGAACGACUGAAAAACAACAGAAAAACCAAACUUGCUCACAGCUUGUGAUAAAACCUGCAGAAGUGAAGGUAUGCACAUGUGCCUACCCGGUGUCCCAAAACUAAUUAACACCAUCGCUUGAAAAUCCCUUUGAAUCCAGGUAAAAUUUUGCAGAGAGAGGAAGAUAAAUCUGCGUUUUCAAGUGAAGUAACUAAAGCUAGAUCAUAGUAAACUUUGAGUCCAGAUUCAUUGCUGCUCCUGAGCUUGUCUGCUCUCACUUCUAUCCUCUAUCUCAUUAUGAGGUUGUUUCAAUCGAAUUCUGCUUGUCUAGCCUCCAUUUCCUCCUCUUCUGUCUCUUUCUUAAAGCCUUUUUUCUUACAAACAACAUCCUGCUCUCAAGUUGGUCGGUGGAGAAAUCUGCUGCUUCAUACUAUCUGUAAUAAUGAGGGUGAGAAGUGUUUGUAGAUCCGUUUCCAGAAAGCCCAUAAAGGGAAACUUUGAUGCACCCCAUGCCUACAGCAUUAUACAAUAUUAUGUGCUAUUCAUUAAUAUAAAAGGCCCCUGACACUCAGAGGGCCAUAAAAACAUAAUGUGUCUCCAUCGAAGGCAGCAGGAGUAUUGUGGGUCUUUGAUCUCAAUAUUACAUUACCGUUAGAACUGACCUAUGGUUACUGUGUUCUAGGGCUGGGCAAUAUGGCCUCAAUUCAAUAUCACAAUAUAUUGAACAGUUCAUGUCGAUAACGAUAAAUGGACAAUAACUACUCCCCAAGCUGCUCACCUCCUCCCACAUUAACUUUGUCUACUUCAGCCGCUACAACUUUUAAACCGUCCUCUAUCUCCUCACCUGUCUUUCCGUCUCGUCCCGUCCAGGGACUGGAUGGGGUGGAGUCACAUCUCCCACAUAGGAUUGCAUCUUAAAGUGACAUGAGACCAUUAGCCUACCUACACACAUCCCAACCAACUUUUAUUUAUUUAUAUUUUUGCCAUAAUUUAAUGUCGUAGAUUUCAGUAUCGGUAAAUUUUCGGUUUAUCACCAAGCCCUACUGUAUUCCUCAUCUAUUCAGUCUGUGACGGUUCCCUGGUGUCUAAUGUAUGCUUUUCCCUCUGUCAAGCAGGAGGUUACCAGGGGGCGGUCCGAUCGGUUAGUGAGGUUGGCAGCACCUGGGCCCGGUGUCUCCCAACCUAUAAAUACCCCGCCUUCUCCACCAGUUCGCUCUCUCCUUCCCUCCGGGCGGAUGGCUUUGUCUUUUGUUUUACGCAUCCAACACCCUAACACACAUUACACCCCGUAUUCACUCAUGCAUGCACGCACCUACACAGCUGAUCUACUGAUCCUCACACCCCAUGACUUGUUUGUGUUCACCUCCUAAGUUGCUGUUAUACUGUUUUCUUAAUAAAUUCAUUACGUUUACGUUAACUAGUGCAUCUUCCGUUGUUUUUGUCGCGGCUGAGGAGCCUGGUCGUGACAAAAGUGGGGGCUCGUCCGUCUUGAUUAGGUCCGUUUCGCGUUGAAUGGUAAGCUAAGUAGUAGUAGCAUUGGUGGGCCUGAUUUUUGUGAAUGGAAAGUGACGUAGUGGGUGACGUCACUAGCUUGUUGUGAGGGUUUCUCUUGGGGUUUUUCCGGCUUGCAGCGUGUCUUGUCUUUGUACACUGCGGCAGGAAUCGGGAGAUGCAAAUGAGUUAUGUAUUUUGGGGUAUUUGUUUAAAUAAGUAAUUUGUUUCGCGGGAUAGAAGGGGAGGUUUUUGUUUGGGUGUGGGUGUAAAAAUGGUAACGAUGUAAAGUAGGUGCUGUCGGCUGUGUGUUAAGGCAUCGGAAAGACUAAACGUGUGUUUUCCCCCUGUGAGGCUCAGAGGCGUUAUCCCUUUGGAUUUCGACCUGUUUAUUGUUUUAGUAGUGCUGCGGAGACCGUGGUUGGAGCAUUGCGCUCGGGAGCACGUCCGUGGUUCAGGAGGAGUCGCCAGCUAGUGGUUGCUUUUUCCUAGCCAUUGGGUUUUAGUGCAUAAAUACCCGCCGCCAGUAACUGCAUGAAGACUAGGUGAGUUAAGGUAGGUAGAUUUUGGGUUAGGUAGUGAGUUAGAGGGGGGGGACACUCGUGGGCGUUUGAUAACUGUGCCUUUGUUUUGUGCCGGGUUUGGCUGCACUGUGCAUUACGUUGAUUACACCACACACACACCCACACUGGUAAGCGGAGAUGGCAAGUGUGGAGGAAUUUUUUGUUUCCCCGUCAGAGGAGUUUUUAGAGCAGUGCACGAGAGAGCAGUUGUUGAAAAUAGCAGAGCACUACAAAGUUGAUGUGGGUGACAAACGUUUAAAGGACAGAGUAAGGGCAGUAUUAAUUUCAACUUUGUUUGAGAGAAAAGUUUUGACCGAAGAACCGCCAGUUGUUUCUCCAGUCGCCCAGUUGCUUCCGCCCUCAGUAGCAGUGGGGCUUACAUUUGACCAGCAGAAGGAGCUGCUUCUGUUGCAGCUGGAACAUGACAAGUGUAAGCAGAAAGCGGAGCUGGAGAAAGAACUGGCUGUGGAGAGGAUGCGUCAGCAAACGGAGCAGGCCAAAUUGGAAUUUGAGCAUUCUAAAUUGGCACUGAUUAAAGAGGGAAAGCUGAUGGCUACGGGUGAGUUGGCCAAUGAUUCUGUUUUGGGUCAGUCCACCGAUAGUUUUGAUGUGUUGGGCAAUUUGCGUUUUUUGCCAAAAUUUUGUGAGAAAGAUCCUGAAUCAUUUUUUUCUUUGUUUGAACGGGUCGCUGAUGCACGUAAAUGGUCGGAUGAGGUGCGCACGCUAUUAUUACAGUGUGUGUUCACAGGCAGAGCACAGGAGGCCUGCUCAGCAUUAACAGGGGAGGAAAGUCGUAAGUACUCUCAGGUGAAAUUGGCAGUUCUAAGGGCUUAUGAAUUAGUCCCAGAAGCCUAUAGGCAGCGAUUUAGAGCUUGGAAAAAGGGAGAAAGGCAGAGUCACUUAGAAUUUGCACGCGAUUUGGCUACCCAUUUUACGCGCUGGUGCGCUGCGGCGAGUGUGGAUGAUUUUGAUGGUCUCUGUGAGCUUAUCAUAUUGGAGCAGUUUAAAAAUUCACUGCCGGUGCGAGUGGCAACCUACCUCAGUGAACGAAAAGCUAGAAACGCGACUGAGGCGGCGGCUCUCGCAGAUGAUUAUGUGUUAACUCAUCGGAAUAGUUUUAGUGAGCCCCGGCUGGGCAGUGUAAACAGGGAGUCAUUCGGCCGACCCCUUAAACACUUUCCAAGUGAUAAACAGAGUGGCAGUCACCUAGGUGAUUCGGACAAACUUUGUAAUUACUGUCACAAACGCGGACACUGGAAAGCAGACUGUCAAUGGCUGCGGUCUAAAUCUAAGAGCACUUUUGGGGAUCAUGCGAAAGGGGUCGCUUUGGCUGUGCCCGCGCGUCAGUUCGUCACUUCUGAGGUUGUGCAUGAUACAGAUUCUUGUCCGGAGAUGGAUUCGUACCGACCGUUCAUCACCGAGGGGUUUGUGUCUAUGGUAGGAAGCGAUACUAAGGUGCCGGUGACUAUUCUGAGGGACACGGGAGCGUUCGAUUCAUUCAUCAGGGUAGGAGUUUUGCCUUUGUCGAAAGACACAGAGACGGGGAGCUCUGUUCCUGUCCGGGGAAUGGAUCUCAGCGUCCUGUGGGUCCCAGUACAUAACGUAACGCUUCAGUGUGAUUUGUUUCAGGGGGAGGCUGGUCUCGCGCUGCGCCCGGCGUUGCCUAUUCCAGGUGUGUCGGUUAUUCUCGGAAACGAUUUGUUAGGGGCGAGAGUCUGGGCAGGGGUAUCACAACCCGUCGUGGUGGCGCCGACACCGUUGGCGAGAUUGAAGCCGGAUGAAAAUGAACGUGAUUUUCCGGAGAUUUUUUCAGCCUGCGCCGUUACGCGUGCUAUGGUGGCCGCAAAGUCCGAGGUUGACACAGAUAAAGAGGGUGUCCGUGAAAGAUUUGCAUUGCCCCUGUCUGACUUUCCUCUGUCCAUAUCUCGCAGUGACCUAGUGGCCGAGCAGCAGUCUGAUCCCUCCCUGAAGAAGCUGUUUGACCAGGUUCGACCGGCGAGUGAGGUGUGGGACAGUGCUUCCGGUUAUUUUUGCCACGACUCUUUAUUGGUGAGAAAGUGGGUACACAGCGCGAACGUAGUGGGGGACCCAGUGGUCCAAAUAGUUUUGCCAGUAAAGCUGCGGGAGUGUGUGUUGAAAGUUGCUCAUGAUGAGUCAGGUCAUUCUGGAGUAAGAAAAACUUAUGACCGACUCCUGAGACACUUCUUUUGGCCUCGUAUGAAGAGGGAUGUCGCGACUUUCAUUAAAACAUGUCAUACAUGCCAGUUAACUGACAAACCCAAUCAAACGUUGAAACCUGCGCCUCUGUGUCCCAUACCCGCAGUCGGACAGCCUUUUGAGCACUUGAUUGUUGAUUGUGUCGGUCCAUUGCCCCGCUCUAAAUCUGGUGCGAAUUAUCUUUUGACUAUAAUGUGCCAGAGCACCCGGUACCCUGCUGUGUAUCCCCUGCGUACAAUAACUACAAGGUCUGUGGUACGGGCGCUCUCCCAGUUUAUAUCUGUGUUUGGCAUCCCAAAGGUGAUUCAGUCAGAUCGAGGGUCUAACUUCUCCUCUCAAAUGUUCCAGCAGGUGCUGAAACAGCUGCGAGUCUGGCAUAACCAGAGCUCUGCCUAUCACGCUCAAAGUCAGGGAGCGUUGGAGCGCUUCCACCAGACUCUUAAGUCCCUUUUGCGCGCGUAUUGCACGGAGCUGGGUAGAGACUGGGAGGACGGGUUGCCCUGGUUAAUGCUUGCAGCAAGGGAGGUGACACAGGAGAGUACAGGGUUUAGCCCGAAUGAGCUUGUCUUCGCACACACUGUCAGAGGUCCAUUGGCUGCGCUGUCUAGCGGCUGGGUAGAGUCACAACCUCCAAAGAAUUUAAUUGAUUACGUCAAUGGCUUUAGGCACAGGCUGUACACUGCAGGGGUAUUGGCCAAGGAGAAGCUGGAGUCAGCUCAGGGCAAGAUGAAGCAUCUAUAUGACAGGGGGGCUGAGCGCCGUGUUUUUAGUCCUGGGGACCAAGUGCUGGCUUUGCUUCCAAUCGUCACUUCACCAUUCCAGGCAAAAUUUACUGGGCCGCAUACAGUGUUGGAACAAAUUUCAGAGCUUAACUACGUGAUUUCAACACCGGGUCGUAGGAAACCGACUCAAAUGUGCCAUGUAAAUUUGCUCAAGCCGUACUACGCGCGCCCCUCGGAGACAGUUGCCGUUGACCCGCAGCCAAGUGUUCAGAUCCAUGCAGUGUGCGCGGUGGCCCCAGUGGUGUGUUCUAAUCCUAGUCAUUCGGAGUCUGAUGACGAAUUAAAUAUGCCUGACUCGGCUCUGUUACAUGGGCGGCUUAAAAAUUCUGAGGCUAUGGCCCGGUUGGAUAACCUGUUUCCACAUUUAACAGAAUCGCGCCGAGCAGAGUUGAUCCAGGUGAUCCGAGGUUUUCCGGACCUCUUCAGUGAUACACCCGGUCGCACUCACUUAAUUGAACAUGACAUAGAUGUGGGGGAUGCUGCGCCCAUCAAACAAAGAUUUUAUCGAGUAAAUGCAGAUCGUCGUAAACAUUUGGAUGCCGAGGUUGAUUACAUGCUGGAGAAUGGGAUUGCGGAACCCUGCUCUUCCAGUUGGUCAUCUCCCUGCUUGCUCGUUCCAAAGUCUGACAACACGCCCCGUUUCUGUUCAGAUUUUCGUAAAGUUAACAACGUUACAAAGCCUGACUCUUUUCCAUUUCCCAGGAUGGACGAUUGUAUAGAUCAGGUUGGUUCAGCAGCGUUCGUCAGUAAAUUUGAUCUGUUAAAGGGAUAUUGGCAGGUGCCCUUGACGCCGCGUGCGCGUGAGAUAGCCUCUUUUGUGACACCAGCCGGUCUGUAUUCCUAUACAGUGAUGCCCUUUGGCCUUAGAAAUGCGCCUGCUACCUUUCAGCGUCUUAUGAACCGCGUCAUUGGGGACAUGCAGGGCUGUGCGGUUUAUCUAGACGACGUAGUGGUGUAUUCGGAUACGUGGGAAGAACAUCUGGAGCGUAUCCGGGAACUGUUCACUCGUUUGGCGGAGGCAAGGCUCACGGUUAACUUCGCAAAGUGUGAGUUUGCCAGAGCAACCGUUACAUACUUGGGCCGUGUGGUUGGGCAGGGCCAGGUGCGGCCCGUAGAUGCUAAAGUUCAGGCGGUGAAACAGUUCCCCGUUCCGGCAACGAAAAAAGAACUUAUGCGCUUUCUUGGUCUCGUCGGCUACUACAGGGGGUUCUGUAGAAAUUUUUCAACAGUCGUAGCACCAUUAACUGAUCUGUUGAAAGGAAAGGCGAAAUAUAUUUGGACUCCGGCUUGCGACAAAGCGUUCGUACAGGUAAAAGAGCUGCUUUGCUCUGCUCCUGUCCUGUCUGCCCCGCGUUUUGACAAGCCGUUUCAACUCUAUGUAGAUGCCAGUCACGCUGGAGCAGGAGCUGUCCUCAUGCAGACGGAUGAUUUGGGAAUCGAUAAACCUGUUAGUUUCUUUUCCAAGAAAUUUAACCCGUGUCAGUUAAAUUACGCGGUUAUCGAAAAAGAAGCACUUGCGUUAAUUUUGGCUUUAAAACAUUUCGACGUUUAUGUUGGUGGCAGCGGUGCCCCUACCAUCGUGUACACUGACCACAACCCUCUAACUUUUCUUAACUCCUUGCAGUGUCCCAACCAGCGGCUGGUCAGGUGGUCGCUGUUCCUGCAGUCGUACUCUCUGGACAUUCGCUAUGUGAAGGGGGCCGAGAACGUGGUGGCAGACGCGUUGUCUCGGGCUCCCCCGCGUGGCGACUGUGCCUAACUGUUUCCCUUUUGGUUCUACUCUUGCCUCCUCUCAAUCUCUUAAAUUGCUUCCUAGGUGCACCGGUUGCUGGGGUGGGGAGUUUGGGUUAAGGGAUGUUGGACCAACGAAACAGUCUGGUACCUGGACUUGUAGUGUUCCACUGUGCUCACGGUGCCUGUAAGGAUGUAAUGUAUGUUGGGUUUGGGUUGUUUUUUAGACUAGCACUUUAAAUAAAAAAAAAAAAAAAAAAAGUUGACUGGAUACGGUUGCACUGAUAUGGUGUUACUGUGGGGUAUUGUGUUUAUGUUGGUCUGUUUGCUUAGGUUUGUUUAAUCCCGGGAUUCCCUUCAGGACCCCGUUCUUGUGGGGGUGGGUGUGACGGUUCCCUGGUGUCUAAUGUAUGCUUUUCCCUCUGUCAAGCAGGAGGUUACCAGGGGGCGGUCCGAUCGGUUAGUGAGGUUGGCAGCACCUGGGCCCGGUGUCUCCCAACCUAUAAAUACCCCGCCUUCUCCACCAGUUCGCUCUCUCCUUCCCUCCGGGCGGAUGGCUUUGUCUUUUGUUUUACGCAUCCAACACCCUAACACACAUUACACCCCGUAUUCACUCAUGCAUGCACGCACCUACACAGCUGAUCUACUGAUCCUCACACCCCAUGACUUGUUUGUGUUCACCUCCUAAGUUGCUGUUAUACUGUUUUCUUAAUAAAUUCAUUACGUUUACGUUAACUAGUGCAUCUUCCGUUGUUUUUGUCGCGGCUGAGGAGCCUGGUCGUGACAAGUCAUACACUGUUUACUUAAAGUACAUCAUGAACAGGGUCUGUUUACACGUAUCACAUGUUCACAAGCUCAAAUACAACAAUAGCAACAUCAUAUCACAAUUUUGGAGGGGAUUCAUGCCAGACCAUUUAUAAGUCAGGAGAAGUAACACUCUGAAUUUCCCCAUUCAUUGGUUGCCAGGCAACUGGUGUCACCCCCCCUUAAAAAAAAAAUGCUGAAAAAGACAAAAGCACGCUAUAAAUGAACUCCACUAAAAUGAUCAUAUAUUUGCAGACUUCCCGACAAAAGCGCUCGGAUCAGACUAACUCAGCACUCAGCUGAAAAGUAUUAAUGUCAUUGUGCCUUCCUGUCGUUGUUAUUGUCAAAGCCAGCUCUCUUCAUGCAUUAUAAAAGCUGAUGUCAGUAUUUUUAAAAUCAGCAUCUGGCUGAAGCAGAUGCUCUACGCUGAAGCACUGUAAAAACAUCAGAGCCUUAACCUUUACCCAACAGUUACAGGUGCAAAUCUGACAUUUUGUUCUUCUCACAUUUGCAAAAUAUGAAGUAGCACUCUUAUAAUAAUUGUGACUCUGAGAGCGAUAAUUGCAUUUUUGUAAUAUGGUGUUAAAACUACUAUCAUGACAAGUGGUAAAAAAUGGAAAUCAUGCAACAAGUGCUUCCCUUUAGAUGAAUAUUGGUAAUGUGUGUGUUACCAUGUGCUAAUGAACAAUCUGUACUUGCCUCCUCAGACUUCUUGCAGUCUAAUUUUCAGACUAAUAAACUAGUCUCACCUGCAGUUGUAACAUAAAAACACUGAAAGAUGCAUCGAGAAAAACAAGUAUUAAAUUUGUUUAAAGAGUUUAAGAUAGUUUGCAAAAUAUCGAGGAAAAAAAAACAAAGGUCAAGAUACAGGAGACACAGAGAGCCGUGGAGGUUGUCAUGGUGAUACAGGGCUUCAGGGUCCGAAAGAAAUAAAGAAAGCAGUUUGUCACCCAGUGUGAGACUUCACUCUGACACUUGAUGAAAUGUCCUGAUCGAUAAAUGAUCCCAGUCUUGCUCCUGGUCAUGAAGGACAUCAGUCACUUCCACUGCUGAGCUGCUUCCUUUUCCUUUCCCCGUGAUUUUUCCCCUGAAGGCCUGCAGAGCCACUCUGUACCUGGUGGAAAGGAGUAGACCAACAUUUUCUGGAAAUGCAAGUCUACUUGAUUAUCAACUGUGAGAUAAGGAUCAAUCCCAAUUUUGCAACUGUACACUUUACAUAAAGCCACAGUAUUUUAGCUUAGGAAUCUAGCAAGCCUUACAGUGUCAAAAGGCAACAAAAAACAUAUUUAUAUAACCCUUCUCAUAGCCCCCAGAGUAAUGAGACGACUGUGAGGCAGCACAUCAUUGGCUUAAAAUAAGACUGGGAACGAAUAAACAGCAAACCUAAAGAGGCAAGAAGUUUUAAGGUUAAGAAACUGGAGGUUUAAUUCAGUCCUGUCCUCUAUUUAUUCCUGUCCUUCUCCUCUCUGCUGCUCAGUAAAUGGCCGGUGGGAUGUCAGUGCCUGUGGUGCUUCCUUCUUUGAAGACAGAUAUGCCCCAAUGCACCAGCAGCUCCAAGUAAUGUUGAAGAUGUUAGUCUGGGCUCACUUGUACAUACAGAGCAGGAUAUGCAAGUCUUCCGGGGGAGAGGCUGUAAGGCAGGAGCUGUGAGGGAUUUCGACUACGUUGAUUCAUACGUUUUCAGUCUGGUUAUUGGAAGAGAGCUCAUGCUUCUCCGAGGAGGAGGAGGACGGGGGCAACGUGUAGAUAAAACUGCUAUGUUUGCUCACACUCUAAGUGUCAGACCAAAGCUGUGAUCUGUAAACCUGUCACGCUGACUGUGAAGAAGGACGGCCACACUUUGUCAGAAGUCCCACGCUUUCCAAAUUGAUUACAAAUUAGAUUCUCUCUGGGUCUGCUCAGGGAUUCAUGUUGUCACAGCUGGAUGAUAACAGGAGUUAGUGGAAAGUGUUAUUAAAUUAAACACUGCUUACACAAGGAUUCUUCAUACAGCACCUGAAAUUAGAUUUUACUGGAUGUGCACUUAUUGAAUUUUUGAUGGCAAAUAUAUUUUCUUACACAUUUGCAUUGCUGAUCCUCCACUACUGCUGCUGUGUUACCAGACCAGACUGAGGCAAAUCUUUACUUAGAUUGCUUUAUCCUAGGGCUGGGCAAUAUGGCCUCAAUUCAGUAUCACAAUAUACUGAGCAGUUAACUUUGAUAAUGAUAGAUGGAUGAUAACUACUCCACAAGCUGCUCACCCCCUCCCACAUUAACUUCGCCUACUUCAGCUGCCGCUCCAGCUGCUGCUAUUUUUUAACCAUCCUCCAUCUCCUCACCGGACUGGAUGGGGUGGAGUCACGCCUCCGACGUAGGACAACAUCUAAAUAGGCUUUUAUUUAUUUAUUUAUUUGUCUGACAUCUAAUAUAUAUAGACACGGACAAAACAACGUCGGUUUUUGCCAUAAAUUUCGGUAUCAGUACAUUUUUGGUUUAUCACCUAGCCCUAAUCGAGGUUUUCAAACCUAGAUAAUAUAGCGUGGAUAAUUUUUUCUGUCAUGUCCAACCUCUGAUCGUACUGAAACUGGCCUAAAACAAUCUGUCCUUUUAUUGGCAAUAAGGAGGGGAACAGUGUUUAUUUUUGACGUGAGACGCACAGCAUCAUGGGUAAGGUAAGAAAACAGCAGUGCAGGGUUCAUUAUGCAGCGCCCUUAUUAAUGUAACAGCUGAAUCAAUUCCAACAUCUGACUCCUACAUUAAUAAAGAGAAAGAAUAAUCACACAUUGGUUUAUAGUUAAGAAUUAUCCACUGUUUGACUGACGCUGGAAAAAGAAAUCUGAUUAAAUAAAGUCAGUUAUUCUCAUGUAGAGGAUAAAAGUAACCGGAGGGUGUUAAUUAUGAACGAAUGGAGAACACUUUACAUGAACCAGAUCCAUGAUGUGAUGUCCUCUUUGUGAACCUGGGGCUGUGGCUCAGGUAAUGGGUUUGAGGUUUCUGCUGCUCCUUUGGGAGGGAGUGGCGAGAUGAAGGGUUGUGGAUGCCAAGAGAGAAACUGACAGUGCCGUUCAUGCAGACUGAUGGAAAACAGAUCCUUGAUUGUGUUUCCUCUUACUUCAACAGGAGCAUCAAGGUCUCCAUCUUCACCCCCUGGCUGACUGAAGCUGCCCUGACCAUCUGAAUCACAACUUAUAAACAGCCACUGCUUUUCACACCUGAUCGAGGAAGAUACUCAGCUUUUGAAAAUCCAAAUGUCAUAGGCAUUUCUCAGCUCUGGGCAAAAAAAAGAAGAGGAGACCCAGAUAAAAGCCCUAUAAAACUGCAGAUACCAAAACAGCUCCAGAUAGGCUCCUCUCUGCGGGAAAUAAUCUACAAGGAUAUGUUUAACUGACCUCCAAGAGGAGACAAGGGUAAAGCCAUCAACCCGAAAAUGACUUGAUUGCAGAUUAACAGUGUAUCUCUUCCUUAUACUUACAAAAAUGGCCUCUUCACCUCCAGAUACACCUUCACUUAGAGGCUGUUUCAUAACUGAGACAUGACUGACUCAAUAAUAUCAUAAAUUAAUCACCUCGGUUGGGCUAAUUAAUAAAGUCUCAGGAGGAACUGUGACGGAAACUCUCUCAGGAGCAUUUAGAUUGAUGAUCCACAACCGUGACAUUUGGAUUUUUUAGAUAACACACGC
Molecule: non-coding RNA, 33038 nt
Organism: Xyrichtys novacula (pearly razorfish)
Lineage: Eukaryota; Metazoa; Chordata; Actinopteri; Labriformes; Labridae
Source: the annotation of a GenBank genome assembly